Long non-coding RNA from Camellia sinensis, 810 nucleotides. RefSeq lists it as uncharacterized. NCBI's taxonomy places the organism in Eukaryota, Viridiplantae, Streptophyta, Magnoliopsida, Ericales, Theaceae. The record is from RefSeq and is a predicted model, not a curated record.
CAACAUUUUUUCGGUGAAUCUCCCUUCUUUCUCUCUCUUUCUUCACUAUUUAAAGGAUAUGAGUAGACGGCUAUCCACCUGGGCCUCCAAAAAGGUCAGAGGUUCGUCCUCCUCGGCACCACCGCUGCCACUGUCACCACCAUCCUCACCACCACAACUGGUUGAUGAAGCCCAAGACCCCGUUCAUGACCAACCACCUCCUACUGCCUCCCCUGUGCCACCCCAAGGGGACCCAUUUUAUAUGACUCGCGAGGAGUACUUACAGCUUCAGCACUCUGUGGAUCAGGUCCACAAUACUCUUCGUGAUCACCACCAGAUUAUCAUUGGGUUGCGCAUGGAUUUUCAGGUGCAUCGGGAUUAUUCUCAAGCGACUUUCGAAUAGCUCAACGCUCGCCAACUCGAUAUUCAGCAGUCAGUUGCACCACUGCAAAUUAAUUUUUAUACAUAUCGAGCGUCAAGCCAACAACAGUUUGACCAGCUCAGUGCCUAGGUUCAGGACGAAGCAUUCGAGACACGGUCAUUGAUGACCACCUUAUUUGCCCAGCAUUUCCCCCCAUCGCCACCACCGGAUUUUCAAUAGCACUAGGCUAUCAUUUUCUUUGUCUCUUUUAGUUUUAUAUUUUCCUUUUAGUUGUUUCUCUUUCUAACAAAAAAAAAAAAGAAGGUGUGUGUGUGUGUUACUAUUUGCCUACCUGGAUGUGCACCUAUAAUCUUUGGUAAUAUUCUCUCUUUCUUAUUUACUUCGCAUUUGCUUUCAUUGAGGACAAUGUCAUAUUCAAGUUUGGAGAUAAGGGUAUUUUGUUUUGUGCA